UGACUGUUAUUAAUUAAGAUUUGCUCUAAACUUGAACUUGUGGGAAGAGUACUUGAUCUAAAGUCUAAGUCGUUAACGGAUAUGAUAUGGGAAGGUUGAGCUGCUGUUUAUCUGUUCCUAGAGAUGCUAGAAUUCUGGAGAAUUUUAUCUUUGAAAAUCUUUAAAAUAACACAUGAUGAGUUCCUGUAUGAUGAGAGUUUAAAUUCCUACCACAGCCAUAUAUACAUGCUUGCUAGACUAUGAGCCACACAUUUACUUUUUACUGCUUAUGAGCAUUGAGUGUGGUCAAGCUGUGUAGACCCUUAGGAGCUUGUCAUGUGGUUAAAUCAAGAUUCACUUGCACGUUCACUCAUACAUGCUGCUUCUACUCUGGAAGUACGCAUCCACAUACAUCCACUCAUUUCCAUCUCCAAAACCAUCCAAAAAUAUUCUACUCCUAAUCUGGGAGAGAAUAGCUAAAAACAUUCUCCUAUUUUGUUUUCCCCUAUGAAAUAAAUGCUCAAGUUAUCUUGGUUACUACCACUUGCUAUAUUAUUUCAGGAGAUGAGUGCUCAAAAAAAAGAAAGAAAAAAAAGAAAUACGAGGAAAUAAAAAGGGGCAAGUGCCCGGAACCUCGAAAGAAAAGAAAAAGUGAGACGAGAGGUAAAAAUGGACAAGUGUCCGACAGUAGAAUUAGGGGUACAAAAUACCCACCUGAGAGAAAAGAAAAAGAAAAUAUAGAGCAUCUCAUUCUCCUCAAAAAGUUUCAAAAGAGCAAGAAAGGUAUGUAUCCCCUCAAAAGAGCACAAGUAGAAUUAGACUUUCACCAUUGUUAUCACCAUCAUUACCAUGCACCAUUCAUUCGCCACACAUGCACAUCUUGAUUUGACUUAUUGACUUGUUCUUCUGGAUCCAUGGUUUGACUAUGCAAUAAAUGUCUUAUAAGUAUGUAUUAGCUGUCUCUCACCUAUGAGCUCCAGAUAUCAAAACCUUAUUAGAGUAGGGUGAGAGAGAAGGCAAUGCCACUAUGCCUCAUACCAAAAAUACUACAUACUUUGAGAGAAAGCAUACACCAUUACUACCUUGGUAAGGAUCCAGAAAUACCACAAAAGAGAGACUAGAGAGAGGCAUACAAGGAAUCUCGGAGUUUUAUUUGAAAAUCUGCAAAAACUCCAGAGCUAUAGUUGAUCAAGAAUAAGAGACAUGGCGCUUGACUAGACCGUUCUAUCUUUUAACUGCUCAAGACACAAGUGACGGUUGCAAGCCCCAUGGUGGAAGGUAAUAUGAGUAAGUUUAAAUCUUAACAGUUUACCCUAACCCAUAGAUGAGAUCUUGUUUGAACGCAUGUGUAUCUUUAAGGUAUGAAACCACUGCAGAAACUCUUGAGUUCAUCUUUGCUCACGGACGAGCAAAGGUUAAGCUUGGGGGAGCUUGUUGACGGUCCUUAAUGCUCAUAUUUAACCAUCAAUUAAUCAUGGAAAAGGAUCCAAAUGCAACCAACACCUAGACUUAGGGUUUUAUCUGACAGAAUUCCACGAGUUUUGGUGUUUGUCUAUUUCUGCAGGGGGUUAUCAGGAAAUAUGAAAGAAAGGCCCACACGUCGGGUUUACAUAGAGAUAUUAAUGUGCCGCGCAAUUUUCUACCAUCUAGAAGACUCCAGAAGCCACGGGAACGAACGGGAGGCCGAUCGUGCCCGAGGGCAGGGCGCCCGCCCAAGUCCCUUGGGUGCCCGCCCAGCUACAGUAACCAAUCAGCUUCAACUUCGCGGAUCGUGCUCCACCGACCUAAGGGACCAAGGAAAACCGUGCGAUUAAUGUCGGUUUGAUCCGACGGCCCAGAUUCAUCUGAAAAGACUAUAUAAGCAAGGCCCCCUGGCCCCUGGAGAGCAUACCUCUUCUACAGAAUCAAAGCUAGGGUUUCAAUUCUUCAUCCAAGUAGAGAGGAUCCCUCUAGUUCUUCUAGUUCUACCUCUAGUUCAUCUAGAUCUAGUUCUAGUUCAUCUAGUUCUAGUUCUAGUUCCUCUAGUUCUAGUUCUAGUUAGUUCUAGUUGUAAUCCAGAAAAUAGGGAGAGAGAAGAGGAGAGCGGAGGAGGAGCCGGAUCUGUCGGAUCUUCCUCAACAUUGUACUUUUGCAGCAACUGGUUCGUUCUUCAUCGUUCUCCAGGUUCUUCAAUUCAUAAUUCCUGAGUUCUUUAAUUACUUUUAUUUACAUUCAAGUUAUUUAUUGGAUUCCCGCUUGCAUCAAGUGCUCUAGUCUUUGUAACGCUAGAGUAGUAAUUAAUAGAUUAGACGUGGUGUUUAGUCUUGCAAUUACCUGAAAUUGCACCCAAUCCUGCGGAUUGUUGUGGUAGCCUUAGGGUAGUGACAGCCCUAACGGUCGACGUAUUCCACCUCGUUCGGAUCGGUGUUUGUAGGACCGUAGUCAGAGCUUCCUAGCCCCCUUCUCAUCUCUUUCUGUGGUUAGUGUUCUGAUGUCCCGAAAUAGAUAAUCUUGAAGUAAUUCUUGAUUCUUAGAUCAACUAGAGAACUCUCAGGAAACUUCCUCUCUUCCCACCAAAAAUAAUUAUAUAGUUAUCCUUGGGCGAUCUUGGAUCUUAAUUAGUACACUCACGUUCUCUGUGGAAAAUCGAUACUUUGGAAUACUCCCGGGUGAAAGCUACAUCGGUAUUCGUGCGCUUGUGGAUUUUUCUGUUUGCGUUUAAAAUACCCAACAGGCGCGCAAUUUUCUACCAUCUAGAAGACUCCAGAAGCCACGGGAACGAACGGGAAGGAAAUCGGGCUCGGAGGCGGGGCGCCCGCCCAGCUACAGUGCCCAAUCAGGACACGUUUCGCGGAUUAUGCUCCACCGACCUAAAGGAUCAAGGAAAACCGUGCGAUCAAUGUCGGUUUGAUCCGACGGCCCAGAUUCACUUGAAGGGACUAUAAAACCAGACCCUCCUGGCCCCUGGAGAUCAUACCUCUUCUACAGAAUCAAAGUUAGUAUUUCAAUUCUUCAUCCAAGUAGAGAGGAUCCCUCUAGUUCUUCUAGUUCUACCUCUAGAUUAUCUAGAUCUAGUUCUAGUUCAUCUAGCUCUAGUCCUAGUUCCUCUAGUUCUAGUUCGAGUUAGUUCUAGUUGUAAUCUAGAAAAUAGGGAGAGAGAAGAGGAGAGCGGAGGAGGAGCCGGAUCUGUCGGAUCUUCCUCAACAUUAUACUUUUGCAGCAUCUGGUUUGUUCUUCAUCGUUCUCCAGGUUCUUCAAUUCAUAAUUCCUGAGUUCUUUAAUUACUUUUAUUUACAUUCAAGUUAUUUGUUGGAUUCCCGCUUGCAUCAAGUGCUCUAGUCUUUAUAACGCUAGAGUAGUAAUUAAUAGAUUAGACGUGGUGUUUAGUCUUGCGAUUACCUGGAAUUGCACCCAAUCCUGCGGAUUGUUGUGGUAGCCUUAGGGUAGUGACAGCCCUAACGGUCGACGUAUUCCACCAUGUUCGGAUCGGUGUUUGUAGGACCGUAGUCAGACCUUCCUAGCCCCCUUCUCAUCUCUUUCUGUGGUUAGUGCUCUGAUGUCCCGAUAUAAAUAAUCUUUGAAGUAAUUCUUGAUUCUUAGAUCAACUAGAGAACUCUCAGGAAACUUCCUCUCUUCCCACCAAAAAUAAUUAUAUAGUUAUCCUUGGGCGAUCUUGAAUCUUAAUUAGUACACUCACGUUCCCUGUGGAAAAUCGAUACUCUGGAAUACUCCCGGGUGAAAGCUACAUCGGUAUCCGUGCGCUUGCGGAUUUUUCUGUUUGCGUUUAAAAUACCCAACAAGCUUUCUGGCGCCGUUGCCGGGGAACGGUAGCUGUGCUAAUUUCGAACCAAGUCGUCCGUGUAUCCAUUUUCUUUUCCUUUUUUACCACACUCACCUUACCAUUUUCACCAUACCACAUGGAUUUCACUCUAAGCAUUAAUGAGCAUGGAAUUUAUUUCAUAGCCACUUCAUUUACUCCAUGCUCAUAUGCAACAUCUUCAAAAUCCAUUGGUUUUUCCAACAUCACCACAUUCGAGAUCUCCAACCCCCUCAUCCUUUCUAUUUAUAAAAACUUUAACAGGGCGGUUGUCGAUGCAUAUGUCUAUAAGAAAUAUUGCAGAUCUCGUUGAGUCGAUCUUGAUAUAGGUCAGCGUUGGAGGGGAAACCACUUCACUGACAUAAAUCGAUGGUUUCCCAAGGACAAGCUUAGUGUCCUAAAACAAGCACUGAUCAGAUUGUAACAUGAGCUCUUAAUUAUUUACAACAUUACCUUGUGUAUUGAGCAUAUAAGGAUAAUUGUAAAAAAAAUUCCUUCGGGUAUUCUUGUCACUAACCUUUUCAGGAUUAGAGCAAGAAGAUCGGAUGAAUGACAAGCACAAGGUAUGUCCAACCAACUAUCAUACAACAUUGAAUUAAAUUCAUCCAAACUUGAAUUUUGCAAAAUUCAGGCUUGGGGGAGUACUUUACAUAAAAACAUCCUUUGCCAUGUUGCUACGUUAGUUGUCUCUACCUUUGAGACAUGCUCAAUUUGUUAAACACUAAUCACACUACUUCAUCUCCACUUGAGUAGAUCUCUAUAAAUGCUCUCAUACCACCUUUAUUUGCUUUAGUAUAUGUCUAGGCUUGGAGUAGUUUCAUUUAUCUCUUAAUUAAGCAUGGUGCUUAGUUUAGGAAUGAUGAUCUUGCUUCCAAAGGAUUUUAAAUUAAGCAUGGUGCUUAGGUUAAAAUUCCCUCCUAAAUCAAAUUAGACAUGGUGUCUAGGUUGAUCUUUGAGUCGAUAGUAUGCUAUAGUAGAUAUUGGAUAUUUUGUUGGACUAACCCCCUGCAGGGAAACUUUCAAUAUCGACCUGGGAAGUCAUGAGAUAAACUCACAAUGGAGACAAAGAGAGACACACAUGAAGUUUAACAAUUUACACAAGGAAGACAUAGGUCACAAGAGAUGAUCCAUGGAGGGUGCCACCAACAUGAUGCACAACCACUAAGAAAGGGAAGCUUCCACAAGGUGAUAUUGUACCAUCACUCUUCAAGUAAGGUAACAUCUUAAGGUACUUGACUAUCACUUCCAUAAGCUUUUCCUUGGUUUUGGCGUUCACAUGAAUAAAAGAGACAAACAUGCAUGAUUUACAACUCUAGAUUAACCAACCCAAUCGAUUCAAUAUGUUUAGUCCUUACACCUUUGUGAUCCCACACUCCUAAUCAUAUAUACUAAAAUGUCGCACACUCAAUCUUUGGAGGAUAUAUUUUAUAAAAAAACAUAAAUAUAGAUAGAUUAUCUUUCCAUUUGGUUGAGCGAUCUGAUCUGACAAAUGUUUUAAAUGCUACACUCAUGAUUUUAUUAUCCAUUAAGUUUGUCUUGCUCACUAUGCUUAAGGUUAGAGAAGAACAAAUACACUUUUGGUUCUGUUGGUGUUUUCCACCAAUAGGGCCCAUGCACUUGAUCUCUGCCUUGUCUCUAUGAGCAGGUACACUUCAAGCAAACUAUGAAGGACUUUUACAACUCCUAGACUCCACCAAGUGAUGAACCUAGAUCUACGAGCACAAACACACUAGAGAUACUGGACACUCCGGCAAUCACUGCCCUGAGAUGCUUGAGGACGUAACUACUGGAGCAACCCCGUUGUGGAAGUAAUUACUGACCUUCUGCCGGUUAAGAGAGACAACCCAGGGCACCCCGUCAUCCCGAUCUCCGUCGGCAUGGUGGACUUCCUAGAAGCACUCUGUGACUUUGGCUCCAGCAUCAACAUUAUGCCCAGGGUACUCUAUGAAAAAUUCUUUACACAUCCUUUAUUAGAAAUAGCCAUGUGUUUGCAGCUUGCAGAUCGUACGCUAAGUUUCCCAAGGAGAAUAUUGAAGAACCUCUACGUCCAAGUUGGUACCUUAUACGCUCCAGCAGACUUCGUGGUGAUAGAGACUGAUACUGAUGAGAAGGCACCCAUCAUCCUAGCGAGGCCAUUCCUGAACACCUCAGGAGCUGUCAUCUACGCUACUGCUGCCAAGAUCAAUUUCUACAUCAAGGCAAGGAAGGAGACGUUUUCCUUCAAGAACAAGACUGCACAAAUCUCAGAGCAAUCCCGACAUGAACCAAGGAAGAGGACCAACAGGAGGAACAGGAACAAGCAAGUGUGGACUGAGUCAGCUAAGAUGGUCACUGCAGUUCAAGGAGGUCAAGAUCAUCUAUUUAAGUCACCGUUCCUGACCAAAAAGGACAACCCAGGCAUGCCAAACAUCUAGUGCUCCAUUAAUGGAUACAACUUCGAGAGAUGCUUUGCGACACCGAGUCAGGCGUCAACAAAAUGGCCGCAGUCACCUAUCAACUCCUGUUCGGAACCAUGCUCCUAAACUCGACAUACAUUCAGCUCUAGAUGGCAGAUCAGACAUUCUGAAAGGUUGAAGGUUAUUGACAUGGGAGAAGACGAGUACGAUCCACCCAUCAUCCUUGGAAGACCAAUCCUCAGCACCGUUAAAGCAAUCAUCUACAUUGGAACCAGAGAAGUUCACAUUCACUUCACCUCUGAGAAGGUACGCCGCUAUUUUACUGACCCUAACUAUAUAGUUGAAGACUAUAAGCAGGUCAGGACAAGAAGACGACGACGCAACCGCAACCAGAGGAGGCAAAUCAUCAAGGACGGAUGGGUAGACUAUGAAGGAGAAGUUGUAAGGUCUGAAGACAUACAACUUGAACAGAACUGUCCUGAGGAGACCAUAGCACCGAGUCAGGUGUGGAGAAAGAAGAUAGUUAUACAUGAAGAGCAGGCGCCGCCGGAACCACCGACUACGCCAUCCAGCGAAUCCCAGGACGUCUGAGAAAAUAGAGAGUUCCGUUUGGAGGACUUAAAAACACCGAACGCCUUACCAAGAGGUAAACUUGGUAGUUAUCUUUUUCCUUUCAAUUAUUUUAAAAUAGUUUGCUUAGUUAAUCAGGUUCAUAUCAUCUCGAAAAGAAAAUAAAAAUGUUAAAAAUAGUAAGACCCAUGUGAGUAUGCUCAUGGCAUAAAACCCAUAAGUACAUUCACUGUGGUGGCGUAAAAAUAUAAUAAAUAUAUUCCUGUCCUAUAAAAAAAAUUAUAAAAAAUAAAUUUAUGAUCCUACUAAAGAGUGUAACAUUUAUUGAGGAGGCUCAACAUGAUAAAGGCUAAAUAUUUAUGCUAACACUUAAUUAGUUCCACAAAGCUUUGUUGUCUAUUUGAGCUCCACAGAAUUCAAGGAUCAAAGAAGACUAGCAGACGGAGGACAUCCUAAUCAGUGUCAGGGUGCUGCCGACAUGCAAAUACACCUCCGCCACCAGCUAGCUACAUCAGAAGGAAUUAUGUCAAAAUCUAGCUUGGGGGAGAGCACCCCCAUUUAUCCAGCUAAGUGUUUCUACUCACGUUUAUACUUUACUCUAAUAAUAAAAAGAUGCGUAAUCAUAGAAACCCAAAUAAAGAUUUUGUGCUUAUAUAUAUCUUUGCUUAGUUUGCUAAAUAAAUAAAUAAAUAAAGUUUACUAUGAACCCUCAUGAUAAGCUCUCACAUGGAAAUGAUGAAUAGUUGCUCUGCCAUGACUAGUUCUUAAAAUUGAAAUCUCUCUCAAGUUUAGGCAUGACUGUUAUUAAUUAAGAUUUGCUCUAAACCUGAACUUGUGGGAAGAGUACUUGAUCUAAAGUCUAAGUCGUUAACGGAUAUGAUAUGGGAAGGUUGAGCUGCUGUUUAUCUGUUCCUAGAGAUGCUAGAAUUCUGGAGAAUUUUAUCUUUGAAAAAUCUUUAAAAUGACACUUGAUGAGUUCCUGUAUGAUGAGAGUUUAAAUUCCUACCACAGCCAUAUAUACAUGCUUGCUAGACUUUGAGCCACACAUUUACAUUUUACUGCUUAUGAGCAUUGAGUGUGGUCAAGCUGUGUAGACCCUUAGGAGUUUGUCAUGUGGUUAAAUCAAGAUUCACUUGCACGUUCACUCAUACAUGCUGCUUCUACUCAGGAAGUACCAUCCACAUAUAUCCAUUUCCAUCUCCAGAACUACCCAAAAAUAUUCUACUCCUAAUCCGGGAGAGAAUAGCCAAAAAUAUUUUUGUUUUUCCGCGGUGAAAUAAAUGCUCAAGUUAUCUUGGUUACUACCACUUGCUACAUCAUUUCAAGAGAUGAGUGCUCUGAAAAAAAAUAGAAAGAAAAAAAAAGAGAGAAUACGAGGAAAUAAAAAGGGGCAAGUGCCCGGAACCUCAAAAGAAAAGAAAAAGUGAGAUGAGAGGUAAAAAUGGACAAGUGUCCGACAGUAGAAUUAGGGGUACAAGAUACCCACCUGAGAGGAAAGAAAAAGAAAAUACAGAGCAUCUCAUUUUCCCCAAAAGUUUCAAAAGAGCAAGGAAGGUAUGUAUCCCCUCAAAAGAGCAAAAGUAGAAUUAGACUUUCACCAUUGUUAUCACCAUCAUCACCAUACACCAUUCAUUCGCCACACAUGCACAUCUUGAUUUGACUUAUUGACUUGUUCUUCUGGAUCCAUGGUUUGACUAUGCAAUAAAUGUCUUGUAAGUAUGUAUUAGCUGUCUCCCACCUAUGAGCUCUAGAUAUCAAAAGCCUUAUUAGAGUAGGGUGAGAGAGAAGGCAAUACCACUAUGCCUCAUACCAAAAAUACCACAUACUCUGAGAGAAGGCAUACACCAUUACUGCUUUGGUAAGGAUCCAGAAAUACCACAAAUGAGAGACUAGAGAGAGUCAUACAAGGAAUCUCUGAGUUUUAUUUGAAAAUCUGCAAAAAACUCCAGAGCUAUAGUUAAUCGAAGAACAAGAGACAUGGUGCUUGACUAGACUGUUCUAUCUUUUAACUACUCAAGACAGAAGUGACGGUUACAAGUCCCAGAGUGGAAGGUAAUAUGAGUAAGUUUAAAUCUUAACAGUUUACCCUAACCUAGAGAUGAGAUCUUGUUUGAACCCAUGUGUAUCUUUAAGGUAUGAAACCACUGCA
Molecule: long non-coding RNA, 8890 nt
Filed under: Sorghum bicolor (sorghum)
Lineage: Eukaryota; Viridiplantae; Streptophyta; Magnoliopsida; Poales; Poaceae
Description: long non-coding RNA (SBIC_LNC009130)
Source: RNAcentral